AACCACGCUUUUACCAGAUUUGUAAAAAAAGACCUGCUUCUCCUGGUGUUGUAUCCUUGCUGGACGGAGAUGGUGAAGAUGCUGGAGGCGGCUAAGCCAGCACAGUAUGGGGCAGAUUUGACAAGGGACAAGAAAAGAAGGCCACCUCCCCUCCAGACAUUCCGAUCAGAGAAAAGAGACAAUUCGAAGCCAACCCAAAGAGACGUCCAAGACCUUGUCUGGGCUGCCUAUCUGUAAUAUCAGCUAAAAAGGAGGCUCCUGUAACACAUACAGCUGAUCCUGUCCUAAUGUGAAGGUGGAUCCAACAAGUGACGUCGUGAUCCUGCCAGUCGAAGUGCAGAAAAAUCACAGUCAAAUGCAUGUUGGCCUGAUAACCAAAUAUUGUUCUU
Acipenser ruthenus (sterlet) is the source of this 389-nucleotide long non-coding RNA. RefSeq lists it as uncharacterized. NCBI's taxonomy places the organism in Eukaryota, Metazoa, Chordata, Actinopteri, Acipenseriformes, Acipenseridae. The record is from RefSeq and is a predicted model, not a curated record. The transcript is spliced from 4 exons.